GCCGGGGUAGCUCAGCCUGGUUAGAGUGCCAGACUCAUAAUCUGGAGGUCGUGGGUUCGAAACCCAUCCCCGGCA
RNAcentral lists this transfer RNA (75 nucleotides) under Candidatus Nitrosopumilus sp. RNAcentral's name for it is "tRNA-Met". It matches the Rfam family "tRNA". From Rfam's summary of the family: Transfer RNA (tRNA) molecules are approximately 80 nucleotides in length. Their secondary structure includes four short double-helical elements and three loops (D, anti-codon, and T loops). Lineage: Archaea; Thermoproteati; Nitrososphaerota; Nitrososphaeria; Nitrosopumilales; Nitrosopumilaceae. The record is from RNAcentral. RNAcentral also lists the same sequence under 3 other names.